RNAcentral lists this ribosomal RNA (551 nucleotides) under uncultured Glomeromycotina. RNAcentral's name for it is "SSU rRNA". It matches the Rfam family "Eukaryotic small subunit ribosomal RNA", at positions 548 to 1098 of the family's 1831-position model. Lineage: Eukaryota; Fungi; Glomeromycota. The record is from RNAcentral.
UUGGAGGGCAAGUCUGGUGCCAGCAGCCGCGGUAAUUCCAGCUCCAAUAGCGUAUAUUAAAGUUGUUGCAGUUAAAAAGCUCGUAGUUGAAUUUCGGGGUUUUUCCAUUGGUCGGGCCUUACGGUCCGUACUGGUGUGAUGGAUUCCUACCUUCUGAAUAACCUUCAUGCCAUUAAUUUGGUGCGUUGGGGAAGCAGAGCUGUUACCUUGAAAAAAUUGGAGUGCUUAAAGCAGGCAAGUGCCUGAAUACAUUAGCAUGGAAUAAUGAAAUAGGACGGCAUGGUUCUAUUUUGUUGGUUUCUAGGAUCACCGUAAUGAUUAAUAGGGAUAGUUGGGGGCAUUAGUAUUCAAUUGUCAGAGGUGAAAUUCUUGGAUUUAUUGAAGACUAACUUCUGCGAAAGCAUUUGCCAAGGAUGUUUUCAUUAAUCAAGAACGAAAGUUAGGGGAUCGAAGACGAUCAGAUACCGUCGUAGUCUUAACCAUAAACUAUGCCGACUAGGGAUCGGACGAUGUUAAUUUUUUAAUGACUCGUUCGGCGCCUUACGGGAAAC